AGUCCUGUGCCCGGGUCUUGGCUCUCACGGAACCCCGACAUAGCCGGCCAUCCCCACCCGGCUCUGACCGCACAGACAGGCAAUCUCGGCACAAAGAGGAGACAGCCCAAGGGAAGUGCUUUUGAAGAAAGGAUAGGACUGAAGAGGAGUUAACAAGGGAAUCUCAAGCAGGACAACGUGAACAAAGUUGCAACGGCCUCCUUCAGAGCUGGGGAAGAGGAUUCGUGCUGGUCAGUCACGAAAGGCAUGGCUGGAGUGCCCUUCUUGUUUCGGUUCUCCAAAUGCUCCCUCUUUAUAACACUCUCCAUAGUCCUCUUUACUAAGCCUUUCCUUAGAAUACUCUGCUUAUCGCCCUCUCUCCCCCUCAGUCCUCACUCUCCCGCCUCUCCAAACCGCUAAUCCCUGAGUUGCUAAUUUAGCCCUCUGGUGUCCCCUGCAGCGUCUCGGCGGCUUUCACGGUUCUAGUUCCCUCUCCUGGACUUCCCCUGUCAUUUGUCUCCAAGCCCCGCCCCCGCUCCCUCUGCUCCGGCUCCACCUUCCUACCCCAGAGCUCAUCCUCGGUCCCUCCCGCUCACCCG
This is a long non-coding RNA of Aethalodelphis obliquidens (Pacific white-sided dolphin), 578 nucleotides long. RefSeq lists it as uncharacterized. Lineage: Eukaryota; Metazoa; Chordata; Mammalia; Artiodactyla; Delphinidae. The transcript is spliced from 3 exons. The record is from RefSeq and is a predicted model, not a curated record.